RNAcentral lists this ribosomal RNA (334 nucleotides) under uncultured bacterium. RNAcentral's name for it is "bacterial SSU rRNA". It matches the Rfam family "Bacterial small subunit ribosomal RNA", at positions 28 to 357 of the family's 1533-position model. The record is from RNAcentral.
GAUGAACGCUAGCGGCAGGCUUAAUACAUGCAAGUCGUGGGGCAGCAUGAGUAGCAAUACUUGAUGGCGACCGGCAAACGGGUGCGGAACACGUACACAACCUUCCUUCAAGCGGGGAAUAGCCCAGAGAAAUUUGGAUUAAUACCCCCAUAAAAAUAUGAAAAUGGCAUCACUUAUAUAUUAAAGCUUCGGCACUUGAUGAUGGGUGUGCGGCUGAUUAGAUAGUUGGCGAGGUAACGGCUCACCAAAGUCUACGAUCAGUAGCUGAAUGUGAGAGCAUGAUCAGCACACGGGCACUGAGACACGGGCCCGACUCCUACGGAGGCAGCAGUAA